RNAcentral lists this ribosomal RNA (497 nucleotides) under uncultured bacterium. Its description in RNAcentral is "partial 16S ribosomal RNA". It matches the Rfam family "Bacterial small subunit ribosomal RNA", at positions 28 to 507 of the family's 1533-position model. The record is from RNAcentral.
GAUGAACGCUGGCGGCGUGCCUAAUACAUGCAAGUCGAGCGAACGGACGAGAAGCUUGCUUCUCUGAUGUUAGCGGCGGUCGGGUGAGUAACACGUGGAUAACCUACCUAUAAGACUGGGAUAACUUCGGGAAACCGGAGCUAAUACCGGAUAAUAUUUUGAACCGCAUGGUUCAAAAGUGAAAGACGGUCUUGCUGUCACUUAUAGAUGGAUCCGCGCUGCAUUAGCUAGUUGGUAAGGUAACGGCUUACCAAGGCAACGAUGCAUAGCCGACCUGAGAGGGUGAUCGGCCACACUGGAACUGAGACACGGUCCAGACUCCUACGGGAGGCAGCAGUAGGGAAUCUUCCGCAGUGGGCGAAAGCCUGACGGAGCAACGCCGCGUGAGUGAUGAAGGUCUUCGGAUCGUAAAACUCUGUUAUUAGGGAAGAACAUAUGUGUAAGUAACUGUGCACAUCUUGACGGUACCUAAUCAGAAAGCCACGGCUAACUACGUG